RNAcentral lists this ribosomal RNA (231 nucleotides) under uncultured bacterium. RNAcentral describes it as "partial 16S ribosomal RNA". It matches the Rfam family "Bacterial small subunit ribosomal RNA", at positions 103 to 334 of the family's 1533-position model. The record is from RNAcentral.
CGGGUGAGUAACACGUGGGUGACCUGCCCUUAGCUCUGGGAUAAGCCUGGGAAACUGGGUCUAAUACCGGAUAUGACCUCAUGACUCAUGUUGUGGGGUGGAAAGCCUUGUGCGGCUAGGGAUGGGCCCGCGGCCUAUCAGCUUGUUGGUGGGGUAAUUGCCUACCAAGGCGACGACGGGUAGCCGGCCUGAGAGGGCGACCGGCCACACUGGGACUGAGACACGGCCCAG